UCCGACUUCCGUGCUUGUUUCUCCUAAAAGUCAAAUAAAUGUGCCAUCUUUUACAUCGCCAGUGUAUGCUACUAAGUCUAAUGUCAUCACCGUAAUUCAUCAUCAGCAGUAGAAUGAUUCACAGACUGCAAACGUGGACUUGAUUUUCAAGAAACACAUUUUUGGACGUUUUGAUUGAGACAGUAUUUCCUGAUUUCAUGUGCCUAUAUAACCGAAGCUUACAUCAAGCAUGGCGAGCGCAAUGAACUCUUCAGCUCAGGAUGAGCAUUAUGAUUACAUUUGGAAAGUUGUUCUGGUGGGAGACAGUGGAGUGGGGAAGACGAACCUACUGUCCCGGUUCACGAGGAACGAGUUCAACGCGGAGAGCAAGAGUACAAUAGGAGUGGAGUUUGCCACGAGGAAUGUGACCAUCAAAGGGAAGACCAUCCGUGCCCAAAUCUGGGACACUGCCGGACAGGAGCGAUAUAGAGCCAUCACGAGUGUGUACUACCGGGGAGCCGUUGGGGCGCUGGUCCUGUAUGACAUCACGAAGCCCCAGUCCUUCCAGAAUCUGGACAAGUGGCUGCAGGAGUUGAAGGAUCACGCCGACCCCACGGCCUGCAUCAUGCUGGUCGGCAACAAGACGGACCUCCGACACUUGCGAGCUGUCACCAUGGAGGAAGGCAGGACAGUGGCAGAAAGGAAUGGUUAUUCCUUCAUAGAAACUUCUGCGCUAGAUUCUACCAAUGUAGGAGAGGCAUUUAAUAAUCUUAUUGUUGAUAUUUUCAAGAUGCAAGUGGAAGAGCUUGCCAACGCUGGUAACUCGACGGCCAACUCCCCCAAGCCUGAUAAUCAGAGGUUAAGCGCAACAGAUGAUGAACAGCAACAGCAGGCUUGUGGAUGCUAGCUUCUCUCUCUUCCACAAGCAGGGACUGGUCUCAGACCAUACAGGGUUGUCUCCCCCUACAUGCUUCAUUCGUCACCAGGGGGAGUAUUGGCUGAACUUUCACAUGUCUUGUCUUAAGGUUAACCUGGCUUCCAUGUUCAAAUUGCAGUGUUGAUGUCUUGGACAGACUCGAUCAGUGUCAGGGAAUGGUCUUCCUUUGGAUGGGGUAUGUUGGGAGGGUUCACGAAACGGGGAGAGAGAUGGUGAGGCCCAGGUCUAUCACCAAGCCUAUUGUAAGCCUCUGGGACAAACACAGGAAAUACACAUUUGAGCAUCACUAUUUAAUGGAUUUUUACUAUUAGAAAAUUGAAACAUUUGUAUUAGUAUUAUCCAAUUAAACAUUGAGCAUGUUAUUACUUUUCUAUAAAGUUUUAUUAAAAGGGUUGUGAAAACAAAAGGAUAAAUAGCUGAUAAAAACAUAACAUAAAUUAAAAACAUUACAUACAUUUUAUAUGGUUUGUCUCCCACACAGAAAACACAGCCAGCUUAUCGAAGCUUUUAAGUUCGGUAUUGGGUAUCAUUUGACAAAUAAUUACCUGUGUUGGAAAUUGUUGAUAGAAUAACCCCAUCUUAUGAUUGGCUGUUCCUUAAAAUUUCUGAAAAGUUGAAGUGACCUGCGAGUCCAAUAUGCCAUUUCUCAUGGUUAUAUUCUCGACGAUGAAUAUUGACCUUGUGACAAUGUCAUGUGUAUGUUCAACUCAAGAUGGCCACCUGUAUGAGUCUGAUUUGCACGUCUGAUUGAUGAUAUCUGCAUGGCCGAUGUACAAUUUCUUAUGGUUAAGUCCUUGACCUUCAUUCGACCUUGAGAAGUCAAGGUCAUGUGUACAUGAAGUUGUCCUCCUGUAUGACUACCUGUGUGAGUCUGAUUUGCACAACCGAUGUACAAUUUGUUAAAUUCUCGACCUUGAGUCAAGGUCAUGUGUAUGUGAAGCUCGAAGAUGGCCGUCUGUAUGAGUCUGACUGACAACAGUCCUUGCAUCCUAUUCCUUCCAGUCCGUGGGCUAUAUUUCUUUGUUAUAUCCCUCACUUUCAUAUUACACAGAACAGGGGGCGCGUGUUGUGUACAUUUCAACUUUUAUUGUAUUGUUGCAAAUUGUGGCGUUAUGAUUUAGGACAACACUUUUGUUUUUGUGUUUCACCUAUCUUAAGAAUAGCUAAUUAUAAAAAAAUAAUCACUUCUUUAUAUCGAGGAAGGUGCAGAGGCAAUAAUGUGUUUUCGUGAAGGGGAUGUAACUCUUUGUUUUCUUAUCCCAAUGUCUUUCUGAGACUCAGAAGCAAUGACACGAUAAUUUGGGCGGCAGUUAUCAGAGACAGGAAAAUAUACAAAUUUCUCUCUCAGGCCACAACAAAUUUAUGAUGUUCUUUUAUCAGACUUUUUGGUUGCUGUUGACUUUGCUUCAUUUAAAAAAAAGUUUUAACUACAAUUAAUAAAUUUAUUUAGAAAUGAAAUUUCUCAUGGUUGAUCUGUUAAACAUUUUUUUAUUCCAAAACUAUGUUUAACACUUAUUAUGGCUUAGGUUUUCAAACAGUUUGAAUGAGAGUCUUGUUUAGGAAUAUACUUUUGAAGAUUUUUUCUGAAAUAUGGCAAUACUUAUAAAUAAAACAAAAAUGACUUAAUUUUUUAAAAUUUGUUUAAGACUUUGCUGUGGCCUUAUGGGGAGGUAGGGGUAGUGUUAUUCUGAGUAGGUGAAAGAAUACUGAAAACUAGGAGAGGAAUAUUGAGAUGCCCAUUUCUUUUUUAUGACAUUUUUCAGACAAAUCAGAUUACCUAGUUACUUGUUUUGCAUUUUUUUUCCUAAAAUUACCUGACUUCAGGAAGAAAAAGAAAUAAGAAUGAAAAUCUCUUUUUUAUGAUGUGAAAACUCUGUGAUGAAAUUGAUUACUGCAAUGUGCCUAUUACCUUAUUUUCUUGUGAAUAGUACACACCUACCUUUCAGGGAUUCAUUUUUUCAGGGGGCGGUGGGGUAGCCUAUUGGUUAAAGCAUUCACUCAUCACCCUAAAGUCCUGGGUUCAAUUUCCCUCAUGGGUCUAGUGUGUGAAGCCCUUUUUUUUAGAGUCCCCCGCCGUUAUAUUGCUGGAAUAUUGUUAAAUGCAGCAUAAAACCAUACUAACUCACUAACUUACUUAUUUUAGGUAGAUACUAUUCGGGAAAAUUUGAUAUGGUGAAGUGUUGCUGCAGCAGACUAACAGUCCAAAUGUCAAUAGAACUAUUAAAAUAAAAAGACCCAACUACCGGGUAUCUACAGUUACCAGGAGGGUGUUUCAAACAAGUAACUACUGUGCCCUAAUGAACAGUAAUGUACUGGUAUAAAGUUGAUUGAUACUGGUUCAAAUUAUAGGACAUGAAAAAGUUUUUUUCUACUUUUGAAUUAACUAUUUUGCUGUUCUGAAAGCUGUGUGGGUUGAAUGUUCAUCCUGGAAUAUAUUAUAAUGUUACAAGUAUUUUGCUUUAAAUCAGUUUGCUUUGGAUUAUGUUUGAGGUGGUUGUAGGUCAUCAAAGCAUGAAGUAGUUUGUCAUACCUGUUAUCAUGCCUCUUAUGAUAUCAAUGACCUCUUGAUGCAGAGGUCUGGGAAUAGAAAUAUUUCAUUUUCUUGACUUUAUCUGAUUAAAAUAAUAUUUCUUAAUGCCACAAAAUUAAUUAUUAGAUUUUCAUUUUUAAACAAAGAAAUGUGACAGGAGGCAUGUAUUUUCUUUAUAUUUUAUUUUCCCCUGUCAAUGGUUGUGCUUGAAGCAGAGUUUGGACUAAGUAUUUGGUGUAUUUCACUUGUUAAAGAAAGAAGGCCACACAAUGAUUUUCUUUGUUCGUAGGUAUUGUUUGUUGUUAUAUGCCACACUCAGCAAUAUUCCAGCUAUAUGACGGCGGUCUGUAAAUAAUAGAGUCUGGAGCAGACAAUCCAGUCAUUGACAUCAUGAGCAUCGAUCCAUGUGAUUGGGAUAUUAUGACAUGCUUCAACUAAGUCAGCGAGCCUGACCAUCCGAUCCCGUAAGUCGUCUUGUGUGACAGCAUGGGUUGCUGAAGACCAAUUCUAUUCUGGAUCCUCACAGAGGUAACAGGUACUAGGGUACAGUAGGACGAUGUUAGGCAGAUGUUUUCUCAUCUUCCCGAGGCAAGAGAAUUAACUGACAAUAAAAGUCCAGUUUCCACCCUUGCCGAACUAGGCUGGUAUUAUGGAGUUACAUUUUGGCUGGACUAACGAGUCUAUGCAUAGUCCAAUCACAAUCACACAACGAAAUCGAAAUCCGGUUCGUAAACUGUCGUGCAGCCACUGGUGGCGCUCCGUAGAGCCCAGACAUUCUUGCCUAGUUAGGCGAGGGUGGAAACUGGAGUUUUGUAGUCAGUUAACGGCCUUGCCUCGGGAAGAUAAUGUUUUCCAGGUGGAGGGGAAAAUCUAAUGAUUUAUUCUGAGACUUGAUAUGUUGAUGGUUUUCAUUUCUUAAACAUUUGCCUUAUGUAGUAUCAACUGGUUGUAGAUGUUUUUCCAUUUAUUUUAGUCAUAGAUGUUUUUUUGCAAGGUUUUUCUUACUAUAAUGGUGCAUAUUUUGUAAAUAACAAUUUUUAAUUCUUAUUAGUACCAGUUUUAGAUAAAAAAUAAUGUCCUUGUCACCAGCAAUAGAUAGUUUAUGUGAUGAAAAAUACUUAUACUCAGUUCCUGUAUUUGUCAGCGUAAACCUGACUAAUUUUGCAAUCUUGAUUUUGGGGAAACGCUGUCACAUAUCGGUUAACAAAUUAAUUACAUUUAACCAUAUUUAGUCUGAAUUUCACACGUUUCAGUGUGGAUAAGGUGUUUGAUAGUUGAAAUGUUAUAAGAUGACAGAAAGAGUACUUGCGUAUUUGAAAUGUUGUUAUGGCAAAUAAUCUAUUGCUUGUUAUAUAAUAGCAUAACAUAUGGUAUGAUUGCCAUCUCCACUAUACAGCGAAUGUACAUUUUCUUGCUUUGAUGUGAAUGGAAGUUUAUGGAAAUGAAAUGAUGCUUGACAGGAUGUGAAGGUAUUGUCCGAGUAGUUUCAUGACUUGGGUUAAUUUUGUAUAGCUAUUUCAACUACCGUAUUUGACAAGGCAAAUGCCUGUGUCCAUAUAAACCCCAAGGCCAAGGUAUGGCCCACUGGAAACAUCCGAUUUUUGAAAUAUUGUCUGACAAAUAACUGAUUUUCAUGAGCAAUUACAUAAAUAUUGAGAGAGAAAGCUGAUUUUUCAAACUUUAAGAGUAAAUCUUAUAAUCAAGUCCGUUACCCAAGGAAAAGAUUUUUGGACUUACUCAUGGUCAAAAAUAAAAAACACGCUUCCUGAAACCUCAGAAAUCGGCUGUUUGAACGUAUUUUGUCAUAGUCUAUAUUCACGGCAGUACCCCCUGCUGGUGUGGGGGGAGAGGUGGCCCAGUUGUCUAAAGCACAGCAAUUCAUUGUGCAGUGUUGCAUGCCAGAAACCUUGGAUUGUGAGUUGGAAUCCUGUUUAUCCUGAUUAUGUUUCUCAGUGUGUCAGUACAUACACGUGUUUAUGACACUCAGCCAUGGGGUAAACAUCCAAGGCCUAUAUCCCUUCAGGCGAGGACCCGUCGUGAUAUAACUGGAAUACUGUUUAUCCUGAUUAUGUUUCUCAGUUUGUCAGCACAUACACGUGUUUAUGACACUCACCCAUGGGGUAAACAUCCAAGGCCUAUAUCCCUUCAGGCGAGGACCCGUCGUGAUAUAACUGGAAUACUGUUUAUCCUGAUUAUGUUUCUCAGUUUGUCAGCACAUACACGUGUUUAUGACACUCACCCAUGGGGUAAACAUCCAAGACCUAUAUCCCUUCAGG
This 5722-nucleotide unclassified non-coding RNA is filed under the name Haliotis rufescens (red abalone). RNAcentral describes it as "ras-related protein rab-11.1-like, transcript variant X3". The record is from RNAcentral. Lineage: Eukaryota; Metazoa; Mollusca; Gastropoda; Lepetellida; Haliotidae.